UACGAAGGGGGCUAGCGUUGUUCGGAAUUACUGGGCGUAAAGGGUGCGUAGGUGGUUAUGUAAGUCAGAAGUGAAAGCCCUGGGCUCAACCCGGGAAUUGCUUUUGAAACUAUUUAGCUAGAGUUCGAGAGAGGUAAGUGGAAUAUCCAGUGUAGAGGUAAAAUUCGUAGAUAUUGGAUGGAACACCAGUGGCGAAGGCGGCUUACUGGCUCGAUACUGACACUGAGGCACGAAAGCGUGGGGAGCAAACAGG
RNAcentral lists this ribosomal RNA (253 nucleotides) under uncultured bacterium. Its description in RNAcentral is "partial 16S ribosomal RNA". It matches the Rfam family "Bacterial small subunit ribosomal RNA", at positions 524 to 776 of the family's 1533-position model. RNAcentral also lists the same sequence under 1 other name. The record is from RNAcentral.